This 255-nucleotide ribosomal RNA is filed under the name Salmonella enterica subsp. enterica serovar Infantis. RNAcentral's name for it is "partial 23S ribosomal RNA". It matches the Rfam family "Bacterial large subunit ribosomal RNA", at positions 2102 to 2356 of the family's 2925-position model. Lineage: Bacteria; Pseudomonadati; Pseudomonadota; Gammaproteobacteria; Enterobacterales; Enterobacteriaceae. The record is from RNAcentral.
UACUAUAGCUUGACACUGAACAUUGAGCCUUGAUGUGUAGGAUAGGUGGGAGGCUUUGAAGCGUGGACGCCAGUCUGCGUGGAGCCGACCUUGAAAUACCACCCUUUAAUGUUUGAUGUUCUAACGUAGACCCGUAAUCCGGGUUGCGGACAGUGUCUGGUGGGUAGUUUGACUGGGGCGGUCUCCUCCUAAAGAGUAACGGAGGAGCACGAAGGUUGGCUAAUCCUGGUCGGACAUCAGGAGGUUAGUGCAAUG